CAGCCCCUUGCCUACCUCCUGCGCCGCUUUUUGGGGGCGAUCACCAGGCAGUUUCAUCCCUUGGUGACCUCGGACCGCAGCAUAAGCCUUAAACGCCAUCUCACUGCCCCCUCCCAUGCUCCGAAAGACCAUGUCUUCCCCUCUGUCCAAGGAACAGCGGCAGAAGUAGAGCGUCUGCUCCAUGCCCAUUUGCAAGGACGACAAGGGUACAUCCAAGGGUCCUCGAGUUUUAGUUACCCAGGGGCAUAUAGCUCAUUCACCCCCUUAACAUGAAAUCCUGCAGGAGUUACAUACCACCAAGACCUCAGCAAGGCGGCAGAGCGACUGCUGACGUGCUAGACCGGGGCCACUACAGUGCAUUGAGUCCCCUUUGCCCUUGUCACAAGCAAACUAUCUCCAGGUGUGAAGAAACUGAAACUCAAGUUAAAUAAUGCAGAACAUGUAGCUGAGGAUGACGUUGGACUUAGGAUUUUCCCGAGUGCUGGAAUUACGGCAUGCACUACCAUGGUAGACCGCUGCAGUGCCAGGGCCUGUGGUUAUCGCCAUGCUGGAACCAGGCAAAGACCGGAAAAUAAUUGUUGAACGCAAAGCCAAGUCUCCAAAAGUUGGGAAAGAGAAAGGCCAAUGUAAGGAGUUCACUGAGAGUGCAAGGGUGAGCAUAAGUGUUGUGCUGUAGGGGUUGACCAGAGAGGCCUUGUGCGGCUUCUUUUCAAAGUAUGUCUGAGGUGUUUCAUCGUCCACCUGUUUUGCUACUGACUGUAAGUCUCCUUUUGCAGUUUUGACAAUUUACAAAUAAAAACUGGAA
Non-coding RNA from Arvicanthis niloticus (Nile rat), 805 nucleotides. NCBI's taxonomy places the organism in Eukaryota, Metazoa, Chordata, Mammalia, Rodentia, Muridae. The record is from RefSeq and is a predicted model, not a curated record.